Molecule: ribosomal RNA, 386 nt
Filed under: uncultured organism
Description: bacterial SSU rRNA
Rfam family: Bacterial small subunit ribosomal RNA
Source: RNAcentral
CGGAGGGUGCGAGCGUUGUCCGGAAUCACUGGGCGUAAAGGGCGCGUAGGCGGCAUGCCAAGCGUGUGGUGAAAGCCCGGGGCUCAACCCCGGGUCGGCCGUGCGGACUGGCGUGCUCGAGCACUGUAGGGGCGGGUGGAAUUCCGGGUGUAGCGGUGGAAUGCGUAGAGAUCCGGAAGAACACCGGUGGCGAAGGCGGCCCGCUGGGCAGGAAGACGGAGCGAUCCGUCGGCUGACGCUGAGGCGCGACAGCGUGGGGAGCAAACAGGAUUAGAUACCCUGGUAGUCCACGCCGUAAACGAUGUUCACUCGCUGUUUGCGAUACACAGCAAGCGGCCAAGCGAAAGCAUUAAGUGAACCACCUGGGGAGUACGAUCGCAAGGUUG